UAGGGAAUCUUCGGCAAUGGACGAAAGUCUGACCGAGCAACGCCGCGUGAGUGAAGAAGGUUUUCGGAUCGUAAAACUCUGUUGUUAGAGAAGAACGACGAGGAGAGUGGAAAGCUCUUGUGUGACGGUAUCUAACCAGAAAGGGACGGCUAACUACGUGCUAG
Molecule: ribosomal RNA, 164 nt
Filed under: uncultured bacterium
Lineage: Bacteria
Description: partial 16S rRNA
Rfam family: Bacterial small subunit ribosomal RNA
Source: RNAcentral